GAUGAAGAACGCAGCGAAAUGCGAUACGUAAUGUGAAUUGCAGAAUUCAGUGAAUCAUCGAAUCUUUGAACGCACAUUGCGCCCGCCAGCAUUCUGGCGGGCAUGCCUGUUCGAGCGUCAUUUCAACCCUCGACUUCCCUUUGGGGAAAUCGGCGUUGGGGACCGGCUGUAUACCGCCGGCCCCGAAAUGAAGUGGCGGCCCGUCCGCGGCGACCUCUGCGUAGUAAUCCAACUCGCACCGGAACCCCGACGUGGCCACGCCGUAAAACCCCCGACUUCUGAACGUUGACCUCGGAUCAGGUAGGAAUACCCGCUGAACUUAAGCAUAUCAAUAAGCGGAGGA
This 343-nucleotide unclassified non-coding RNA is filed under the name soil metagenome. RNAcentral describes it as "partial contains 5.8S ribosomal RNA, internal transcribed spacer 2, and large subunit ribosomal RNA". The stretch from base 1 to 120 matches the Rfam family "5.8S ribosomal RNA", at positions 35 to 154 of the family's 154-position model. The record is from RNAcentral.